AAGUCGUAACAAGGUUUCCGUAGGUGAACCUGCGGAAGGAUCAUUACACAUCGCGGGAGUCGCACCACGGCUCCCGCCCCGAGCACUCGGGUUACCCUGCCUUUUGAGCACCUUUCGUUUCCUCGGCGGGCUUGCCCGCCACUGGGGACCCAGAAAACCUCUUGCAAUGAGCAGUAACUGUCAGUAAUGAAUUAUCACAACUUUCAACAAUGGAUCUCUUGGCUCUG
RNAcentral lists this unclassified non-coding RNA (227 nucleotides) under air metagenome. RNAcentral describes it as "partial contains small subunit ribosomal RNA, internal transcribed spacer 1, and 5.8S ribosomal RNA". The stretch from base 1 to 46 matches the Rfam family "Eukaryotic small subunit ribosomal RNA", at positions 1786 to 1831 of the family's 1831-position model. The record is from RNAcentral.